UACGUAGGGUGCAGGCGUUAAUCGGAAUUACUGGGCGUAAAGCGUGCGCAGGCGGUUUGCUAAGACAGGUGUGAAAUCCCCGGGCUUAACCUGGGAACUGCGCUUGUUACUGGCAAGCUAGAGUGUGGCAGAGGGGGGUGGAAUUCCAGGUGUAGCAGUGAAAUGCGUAGAGAUCUGGAGGAACACCGAUGGCGAAGGCAGCCCCCUGGGCUAACACUGACGCUCAUGCACGAAAGCGUGGGGAGCAAACGGG
Molecule: ribosomal RNA, 253 nt
Filed under: uncultured bacterium
Lineage: Bacteria
Description: partial 16S ribosomal RNA
Rfam family: Bacterial small subunit ribosomal RNA
Source: RNAcentral